Molecule: ribosomal RNA, 381 nt
Filed under: uncultured Alphaproteobacteria bacterium
Lineage: Bacteria; Pseudomonadati; Pseudomonadota; Alphaproteobacteria
Description: bacterial SSU rRNA
Rfam family: Bacterial small subunit ribosomal RNA
Source: RNAcentral
UCGGGGACAGGGACACAGGUGCUGCAUGGCCGUCGUCAGCUCGUGUCGUGAGAUGUUGGGUUAAGUCCCGCAACGAGCGCAACCCUCGCUGUUAGUUGCCAUCAGGUUAAGCUGGGCACUCUAAUAGGACUGCCGGUGGUAAGCCGGAGGAAGGUGGGGAUGACGUCAAGUCCUCAUGGCCCUUACAAGGUGGGCUACACACGUGCUACAAUGGCGACUACAGAGGGCAGCAAUCCCGCGAGGGGGAGCCAAUCCUUAAAAGUCGUCUCAGUUCGGAUUGUACUCUGCAACUCGAGUGCAUGAAGUUGGAAUCGCUAGUAAUCGCGGAUCAGCAUGCCGCGGUGAAUACGUUCCCGGGCCUUGUACACACCGCCCGUCACA